RNAcentral lists this transfer RNA (74 nucleotides) under Myotis lucifugus (little brown bat). It matches the Rfam family "tRNA". Rfam says of the family: Transfer RNA (tRNA) molecules are approximately 80 nucleotides in length. Their secondary structure includes four short double-helical elements and three loops (D, anti-codon, and T loops). Further hydrogen bonds mediate the characteristic L-shaped molecular structure. tRNAs have two regions of fundamental functional importance: the anti-codon, which is responsible for specific mRNA codon recognition, and the 3' end, to which the tRNAs corresponding amino acid is attached (by aminoacyl-tRNA synthetases). tRNAs cope with the degeneracy of the genetic code in two manners: having more than one tRNA (with a specific anti-codon) for a particular amino acid; and 'wobble' base-pairing, i.e. permitting non-standard base-pairing at the 3rd anti-codon position. The record is from Rfam by way of RNAcentral. Lineage: Eukaryota; Metazoa; Chordata; Mammalia; Chiroptera; Vespertilionidae.
GGCCGGGUGGCUCAGUAGGUUAGAGCAUUGUCCCAUACACCAAAAAGUUGCAGGUUCGAUCCCAGUCCCGGCAC